CUUCCAAUCUCACAUCUCUCCUUACUGGAGAUACUGUAACAGGCUCUUGCCUGGCCUUCCCAGUCUCCAUUGCUGUUCCAGUUGUUUUUCUCAAAUCCAUCAAGUGCACUUACUGCUUAUGUGCCAUCUCUGGCAAGAAGCCUUCCUUGAACCUUCCAACAGAACCCCACUGCCACUCUCCUGUCAGCCAUAUCCUUACUCUAUCAUUCAAU
This 212-nucleotide long non-coding RNA is filed under the name Homo sapiens (human). RNAcentral's name for it is "non-protein coding lnc-C3orf30-20:1". The record is from RNAcentral. Lineage: Eukaryota; Metazoa; Chordata; Mammalia; Primates; Hominidae.